Molecule: long non-coding RNA, 870 nt
Filed under: Cricetulus griseus (Chinese hamster)
Lineage: Eukaryota; Metazoa; Chordata; Mammalia; Rodentia; Cricetidae
Description: lncRNA (ENSCGRG00015035410.1)
Source: RNAcentral
UUAUAGUCCUCCUGCCUCAGCCUCCUGGUGCUGCAGCAAUGCCAGACACGCACCUCUACAGUUGGUGGAGUAUUUACUUAAUACGGUUUCCCUGCUCCUGCUCUCUAAAUCAUCUGAUUAUUUAACCAAGGUGGACCUGAGAUCUACACGCAUCAGCUACCCCAGGACCCCAGGUGACUGAUGUGCUGGGAGGUGCAGAGGAAGAAAGACCUUGAGUCCAAUGCACAGAGCUCCCUUCCGGGAUCUGGAAGGAUUUUGACCCUCAUUGGACACCAUCCUCAGAUGUCUGGGGCAGUGGCUGUUUUGAGACAGUGCUGUCAGAAACACGAGGGCCAAGAUGUCAUGUGACUACUCACUGUGCUUCUCCUGCUUCCAGUAUUCACACAGAAGAAGUUUCUAGAAGCUUCACAGGCUUGCCAAAUGAAGACAGGCCCGGUGUCUAGAAAUAUACCAAGAGCUGUGCACGGCAUGGUGCCGGCUCAGAUCUUGUUUUCUGCAGAGAACAUUAACAGCUGUCUCUCAGCGGUGACAUUCACAGUUGCCAAGUGACAACUCAGGAGUCUAACCAAAUUUAUCAAUAUUUUUGUCUCUCGCCUCCCACCUCACCCCACCAGAGAAAUUGCACUAACAGAACCAUGUAGAUUAUAAGUAAAGCAGCAGAUUUAUUCCUGUUUCCUUCUUAGAAGGGAAAUGGUUACCUCAGAGUUCAGAAUUGUAUUGUGUCCUCCCAGGUGGGUCUGGAGCUCAGGGUUUGCUUUUGGUUGGUUCCAAAAUCUGAAUUAUGUGGUUUUGCCUAAUAACCCUGGAAUGGAACAGGCAGUUUUUUUUUUUUUAUCAGCUUCGAACCCCCCUGAUGCUAAUGUAUUAUUU